UGAGGACAAAGGAGAUGCGGGGGAUCAGGAAGGUAUUGAGGGCAUUGAUCUUUUGCCAGGGGGCGAGCAGGGAGGAGUCGGUUUGGGCUGCAUCCCGCAGGAUCUCCUCAAUGGUGUCUUCGGGGGUCUGUCGGACGCGAACUCCUGUGGGUAUGCCCAGAUGUUGGUAUACCUCUCCCUCUUCGAGGGAGGUCAUGGGCUCGCCCUGGAUCAGGAACCGUGACGCCCGGACCAGAGCCCUGGCACCACCUUCGACUUGGAGGGAGGCGCACUUUUGGGGUUGAAGCAGAGGCCCAUCCACUCGGUGGCUCGGUUGGCAACGUCGAGCAUCCCCUGGAGGCUUUCCGAGCUGUCAGCGACCAGGGCCAGAUCGUCCGCGUAGGCCAAGAUGCUGAUUCUCUUGCCAUGCAGGUUGAAGCUGGCCAAGCCGCUGGAGACUGCUCGGAUGAGCAGUUCCAUGGCCAGGUUAAAGAUGAUGGAGCUGAGGGGGGCAGCCCUGUUUCACGCCGCAGCGGAUGGGGAUGGCGUCCGUCUCUCCGUCCGUGGCGCAGAUGGUGGUGGUACAGUCCUUGUAGAGGUCCUGGAGGAUCUGGAUGAAGGUUUCUGGCAUCCCGAACUCUCCCAGGGUGGCGAAGAUGUGAUGGUGGGGUAUGGACCUGAAGGCGUUGAUCAGGUCGAGCCAUGCUACGGCGCACUGCCUCCUGGCCUCCUAGAUGGCUGUCUGAAGAAGAAAGUUGUGCUCGUAACAUCCCUCACAGGACAUAAAGCCCUUCUGCGCUGAGCUGAUGGGGCCCCCGCACAUUGACCAGUCCGUGAUCCUUGCUGCGAGGCAGCUGGCAUACAGCUUGUAGAUGGUGGAGCAGAGGGAUAUGGGCCUCCAGUUGCUGGGGUCAUCUCGUUCGCCUUUUUUGUGGAUGAGCACCGUCAUGGAUUUUUUCCAGGCGCGGGGGGCGCGGUGGAACAGCUUGCAUUUGUUGAAGAUGGCAGCAAGCACCAAGCAGCUGGGGUCUCGCUUCUUCAGCAGGUGGUAGCGGAUGCCAUCUUUUCCAGAGAUGGUGUUUUUGGUCCUCGUCAGCCUCGCCAGCACCACCCGCGGGGAAAAAUCUUGCUCCAGGUCCUCUGUGAGGUUGAUCAAGGGUAGCGGUAGAAGGCACUCUGGGCGUCGCACAUCGGUCUGGGCCUCGCGAUCAAACACGUCCUUGAAAUAGGAGUAGAGCCUCUCGGUCUGGAUGGCACAGUAGGAGGAGGUCCCGUCGAGGAUCUCCCUCAUGGCUUUCGAGCAGUUUGUCCUGUAUAGUUUCUGAAUAUGGGAUGCAGCCGCCGGAUUAUAGCGGCUGCUGGCAUCCCCUCUCCUGCCUUCUCUGGCAGUGUUGUUACGGCUCAGCGCAGGGAAUCUGCGAGUGGUCCGUGUGCCCUCCUGGGAUUCCCUCCUUCUGGUUGUGAUUUCUAAAGGCAGUUCUGUGGUCAGUCUGUCCAUCAGGGUGUGGAAGUUCUCGAAGUUGUCAGCCUUUGCCAGCUCCUCCAUCCAGACGGAUUGCCAUGGUGUGGCGACCCUGGCUCGCGGCCGUCGCUCCUCCUGCUGCAUUGUCUCCACAGGUUCAGGUGCUGUGGGGACGGUCUGUGGCCUUGUUGUCUCUCGGACUGGGGAACGGUGUUCAGGUGGAUCUUGAGGCCGGGGUCCUGGCGUGGUGGAGGGGGCAGCUCUCCGUGUCUCCGAGGCAGUGCUGGAUCUUCCAGGAGGGAGUGGGGUUCUGGAAGCACCGGUUUUGGACUCUGGGGGGAUGCAGUCGUGUCUGGAAGCGCUGGGGAUGAUCCUGGUUCUCCUACAGGCAGUAUCCGGCUGGGAGGUCCUCAGUGGGGCAUGGGAGGCAGAGGAGGGGCAGAGGAGGAGGCCUGUAGGGAUUGGGUCCUGGAGGUAGAUGCAGUCAUCUUCCCCUGCCUCACCCUCUGUGGGGCAGAUCUCUGCUGUGCCUCGCACAGGUGGUUCCUCUCGGUCUGGUAGAGAAGCUUGAGGAGGUGAAGUCGCUCCUGGGAGGGGGGCGCGGACUCGCUGGCCAUGAUGUCUCUGUCUGGAAGGACAGCAUGCGGCAUCGAGAUCUUGGGCUGUGGAGUGCGUUCGCUUUGGAGUGGCGUUCCUCUGGGCAGCAGGGUAAUCAGUAGUUUCAGGGUCCUGGGUUGGGGAGGUGGUUCCUUCGGGAGCAUCCCUCUGUGGAGCAGAGGGGCAGUGAUCAGCAUCCUGGUCGUGGGUCGUCGGGCGGGCUCUUCUGGUAGCAGCUUUCUCAGGAGCAGCAGGGCAGCGAUCAGCAUCCAGGUCCUGGGCAGUGGGAGAGGUUCUCUGGGCAUCCUCCUCCUGAAGAGCUGGCGAGAUGUUGUUGCUCCUGGAUGUGAGGUCCCGAAGAGCCAUCCUCAUGGUGCUAGGUGCGGGAGUUUACUGGAGAAAAGAAAAAAGAAAAAGGGCAGAGGCCCUUCUCAUUAUUCUCCACUAGGAUGUUCCAGGUGGUAUGAGGAACACCCUAGCCCCUUUUUUAAGAAUCUAAUUGUUUUAUUGCUCUGAGAUCCUUUUUACCACUUGCCAAGAUUUUAAUAAACAAAGAAUUAGAAGAGCAAUGAAAAUAAGGGUCCAAAAUUGGAUAAGGCAGAAAAAAACAGCUAGUGCUAUAGGGUCAAAAGGUAUAUAAGUUUUAUUGGUCAUAAGCGAGAUAGAAUGUUGUGAAUAAGGAUUAUAAGUUACACACCAUGAGACUUUUGCAAGAUUAUACUAAUCUUUCUUACAUACAAAAGAAGAAGAAACUUCAAUCAAAAAAGUUCUUAACUUAGAUAUCUGCAAUCAGGAACUCAUCAACCAGUUAAAAUGAUCAAUCUGACAAUCAAUUAUUUGAGCUCUUUUAUCAUUGACUCUCUCAUCAAUUUUUCCCCAGAUACUCACGCCUAGGUAGUACAUAAGCUCUGGCCAGGAACUUGUCAGAGAUCCUUAGAAGAAAGUCGGGGUACUCAGCUUUUGGAAAGAGGGAGGCGAAUUGAUCCACCAGCCAGAGAGCAGACUCUCCGGGAUGUAUCCUCAACAUCACACUCUCCCUUGCCUGUAGCAGGUUUAUAUGGCUUGUUGCCGCUAGCCUGCUUGAUGUGCUCUAGCCAAUGAGGCCUUGAGAUGUGGGCAUAGUUUAGGCUCCAUGAUUUCCUGUAAGAAGGCCAGAGUGGGUCAGACCAACGAUCCAUCUACCCCAGUGGAGUGUACUGAACCAGGAAAUUUGGAGUGAUCGAUCCACCCUCAUCUUCCACUCCUGGUCUCUGUGGAGUCAGAGAUUUAGGGCUUGACUCAAGCAUGGGAUUGCAUCACUGACCAACUUCACUAAUAGCUCCUGCUGGACCUAGUCUCUAUGAACUCAUCUCAUUCUCUGUGGAAGCCAGUGAUACUUUUCGCCCUCACAACAUACCAUGGCAGGGAGUUCGGCAUGUUAAUUUCGUCAGUUACUGAUCCAUGAGAGGGCUCGAGACGUCUGGAGUAGCUCAUGAUGAACACCCUUAACAUGGAGCCACAGACAGCCCCCUUGGGAACCCUGAAUCUAUCUUGCCACCCAGAUGAGCCUGCCUUUGUGACAGAUGGUCCCUUGCACCAAAAACCAUACAAUAGUCUGGUCACUCGGACCGGUCACUCAGCCAGGUCAAUUGCACCUCAGAUCUCAAACUGAAGACAACGUGCGUCACCAAUCCUAUAAUAAACUAGCUAAAUCCUAUAAUAAACUAGCUAAAUCUUGCUGAA
Molecule: long non-coding RNA, 3760 nt
Organism: Caretta caretta (loggerhead turtle)
Lineage: Eukaryota; Metazoa; Chordata; Testudines; Cheloniidae
Source: RefSeq, a predicted model, not a curated record